This 125-nucleotide small RNA is filed under the name Marmota monax (woodchuck). The record is from RNAcentral. Lineage: Eukaryota; Metazoa; Chordata; Mammalia; Rodentia; Sciuridae.
GCUGGGCACUGUGGCGCAUGCCUGUAAUCCCAGUGGCUCAGGAGGCUGAGGCAGGAGGAUGAUGAGUUCAAAGACAGUUUUAGCAAUGGGGAGGUGCUAAACAACUCAGUGAGACCCUGUCUCUA